AUUCUUAGAAGUAAGCUCUACUGCCAAAAUACUACAAACUAUGUCCUUCAAACUUAAAGGAUUUGGCGGUAAUCUAGCCCAGUUAGAGGAACCUGUUUCAUAAACGAUACACCACGCAAUAUCUUUCCUAUUCUUACAGCUUGUAUACCAUCAUUGCAAGAUAACUCUCACAAGACUAGUUAUUCCAACAAACUCACACCCCUUUAUAUAUUAGAUCAAGGUGCAGCCAAUGAAUAGGCCGACAAUGGGUUACAAUAAUUCUUAUUUAUACGAACCAUAGGAUGAACAUCUUAUAAGAAGGAGGAUUUAAUAGUAAUACUAGUUUAAUAAGCUAGUUUGAUAGCGGAUCUAGAUUAAGUACAUAUCGCCCGUCGCUUUCACCCCACAAGUGAAAUAAGUCGUAACAUAG
This 409-nucleotide ribosomal RNA is filed under the name Gourretia sinica. RNAcentral's name for it is "partial small subunit ribosomal RNA". It matches the Rfam family "Microsporidia small subunit ribosomal RNA", at positions 752 to 1279 of the family's 1311-position model. The record is from RNAcentral. Lineage: Eukaryota; Metazoa; Arthropoda; Malacostraca; Decapoda; Ctenochelidae.